GAAAGUUAAAACAAUGUUCCAUCAACUAAGAUUAGAAAGACCAAACGUCGUUAGCUCAAUUGGUAAAGAUCCUAGGCGAAUCUUAGAGGUCGCCGAUUCGAGUGACGCUUGGGACGAAACUAAUAUUACAUGCUGUGGUUUCGGGUCAGGGGGGAGGUUACGGGUUUCGGCCCAAAACUUCCAGAUAUUCAAAAAAAAAAAAAACUAAAAUUAGAAAGGAGAAAAAAAUGUGUAUUAAAAUGUGAA
RNAcentral lists this small RNA (246 nucleotides) under Arabidopsis thaliana (thale cress). RNAcentral's name for it is "ATSL151600". Lineage: Eukaryota; Viridiplantae; Streptophyta; Magnoliopsida; Brassicales; Brassicaceae. The record is from RNAcentral.